UUCCGGUUGAUCCUGCCGGACCUGACUGCUAUCGGAUUGAUACUAAGCCAUGCGAGUCAUUGUAGCAAUACAAGGCAUACGGCUCAGUAACGCGUAGUCAACCUAACCUAUGGACGGGAAUAACCUCGGGAAACUGAGAAUAAUGCCCGAUAGAACAUUAUGCCUGGAAUGGUUUAUGUUCCAAAUGAUUUAUCGCCGUAGGAUGGGACUGCGGCCUAUCAGUUUGUUGGUGAGGUAUGGCCCACCAAGACUAUUACAGGUACGGGCUCUGAGAGGAGUAGCCCGGAGAUGGGUACUGAGACACGGACCCAGGCCCUAUGGGGCGCAGCAGGCGAGAAAACUUUGCAAUGUGCGAAAGCACGACAAGGUUAAUCCGAGUGGUUUCUGCUAAAGAAACCUUUUGUCAGUCCUAGAAACACUGAUGAAUAAGGGGUGGGCAAGUUCUGGUGUCAGCCGCCGCGGUAAAACCAGCACCUCAAGUGGUCAGGAUGAUUAUUGGGCCUAAAGCAUCCGUAGCCGGCUCUGUAAGUUUUCGGUUAAAUCUGUACGCUCAACGUACAGGCUGCCGGGAAUACUGCAGAGCUAGGGAGUGGGAGAGGUAGACGGUACUCGGUAGGAAGGGGUAAAAUCCUUUGAUCUAUUGAUGACCACCUGUGGCGAAGGCGGUCUACCAGAACACGUC
RNAcentral lists this ribosomal RNA (682 nucleotides) under uncultured Nitrososphaerota archaeon. RNAcentral describes it as "bacterial SSU rRNA". It matches the Rfam family "Archaeal small subunit ribosomal RNA", at positions 1 to 691 of the family's 1478-position model. Lineage: Archaea; Thermoproteati; Nitrososphaerota. The record is from RNAcentral.